Molecule: ribosomal RNA, 301 nt
Filed under: uncultured bacterium
Lineage: Bacteria
Description: partial 16S ribosomal RNA
Rfam family: Bacterial small subunit ribosomal RNA
Source: RNAcentral
CAGCCGCCGCGGGAAUACGUAGGUGGCAAGCGUUGUCCGGAAUUAUUGGGCGUAAAGGGCUCGCAGGCGGUUUCUUAAGUCUGAUGUGAAAGCCCCCGGCUCAACCGGGGAGGGUCAUUGGAAACUGGGAAACUUGAGUGCAGAAGAGGAGAGUGGACUUCCACGUGUAGCGGUGAAAUGCGUAGAGAUGUGGAGGAACACCAGUGGCGAAGGCGACUCUCUGGUCUGUAACUGACGCUGAGGAGCGAAAGCGUGGGGAGCGAACAGGAUUAGAUACCCCGGUAGUCCCUGUCUCUUAUAC